Molecule: long non-coding RNA, 1839 nt
Organism: Felis catus (domestic cat)
Lineage: Eukaryota; Metazoa; Chordata; Mammalia; Carnivora; Felidae
Exons: 5
Source: RefSeq, a predicted model, not a curated record
UGCCCCUCUGUUGUCCUUGUCAUUGGAACAUCAUUUGGCACUCCUGGGAAGGCUUACUGAGCUUUGCCACAAGCAGAGUCCACAGCUUCAUUCCUCAGGGAGAGCUGGAGCUACUGUGUAAGAGGAAGCAGAGAAAAGGUUUGCACGGUGGUGGCCGAAAUGGACUCAAGUCCUGGAUUCCGGUGUGGAUUCCCAUCUAAUCCGUUCCAUCUUCUACAAGAUGAGAAGCAUCAUCACCUCCCAGUGUGAGUCAAUCCAGCCCAACGUGAUGGAAGGCACAAAGGAGGAAGCUGGUCUUUUCUCCAUCUCGCGGGAAUUUCUAAAGUGUAUCCAGAAUUCAGGGGACCUGAAGUCCAGCUGACUUUGAGCUGGGGUUGUGAACAUACGGUGUGCUUCCAGAAAGGCAGUAGUAUCUUCUUAAUAGAAAGGUGUUUCCAUUGCCUGGACUUAAGAAGAGGAAAAGCGAGGCAAUGCAAGUAAGUUAGUCCUGAGCAGUCAGCCUCCUGGACCAGAGAGAACAGAACAAUAGCACAUAGACUGGAUGUUGGUGGGAUGCAGGAAAACAGGAAAGCACUACCAACCACGGAAAGAAAGCAGGGUGAGCUCUCCAAGCCCAGGGAGCAGAAUUUGCCAAAGCACUGCGGUAUCAAAGGACAAAAAGUAUUGAGGAGCAUUGUGGACUGUAUGUAGUCAGUGAGGCUAAGAAGCCAGACGGCUGAGCCCAUUUUGUUAAGCAUUAGGUAUCAAACUAAGGACUUGGAAAUUGAUGCCAUGGACAAACAUUUUUGAGGGGAGUUACACGAUCCAAUUCAUGUUUGAGAAAAUAGCUAUUAGUGGCAAGGGAGGAGAAAUGCAAAAGCAGUGGAAGUCAGGGGUUUAGUGCAACAGUUGAGGGCAGAUGUAGAGAAACGGAGACAAAGGAGGCAUUUGGGACACUUAAAACUUAGAGGGAAGGGUCUAAGAUGCUUGAGGUUUAAUUAAUAAUUAGUAUUAUUGAUAAUGGCAGCUGACAGACAGUGGGUCCCUACUCUCUGACACUAGAUUAGAGACCUCAUCAAUCUCCAGAAGCAGGUGUUAUUAUCACCGUGGUAAUUAUAAGAAACGAAAAUGUUUCAGUGGAUGAUAAUACCAUGAAUCCACGUCGAAUGUCUGAAGUUGCCAGUGUGGCACAGAAUGGAUCUUCACCAGUACGCCAUUAGAAAAGGGGAGAGGGAGGCUUUGGAGACGGAUGCGGACGGGUGCUGGGCACUUGGGACACAUCACAUUGUUGAUGAAACAGCUGCAAUCAUAGUAUAUGUGACACUGACUAGGAUAAAUCCUGAAUAGGAACAAAUACUACCGUGUGUUAAGCAAUGUUAAAGGAAAUGUCAGAGAUGUUAAAUGGAAAGAAGAAUACUGUAUGUAGCCAUAUUUGGUGUUGGUAUAAUUGGCCUAUCCGAAUUUCCUCUCAUGAUAAUUCUGACUUUCCAGCUGGCCCAGAUUUGUCAAGGACACACAGUUUAUUACCUUGAAAAUAGGAUUUCUGGUUCAACAUGGUUACAAGAUCCUGAACUCACCUCCUCCCAAGGACAUGAACCUACAACCACCUAAGGAAUAGUUUGCUCUAAAAAAGACCUAAACACUAGCUAAGUAGCCCCUACACGUGAGGCAAAGAAGAAAAAAACCCACAUGGAAGUAGGUAGGAGACCCUGAGACUACUUGGCUGUGGGAGCCACUAUCAGAAGGAAAUUCAGCAUCCACAGCUUUUUCCUGAGGAGCUCAGGGUUUUAAAUUGCCCAUCAAGCACCCCAACUCUUGAGACUAGCACCCAACUUUAAAAACCACUGGGGUUUGGGUACC